Molecule: ribosomal RNA, 378 nt
Filed under: uncultured bacterium
Lineage: Bacteria
Description: bacterial SSU rRNA
Rfam family: Bacterial small subunit ribosomal RNA
Source: RNAcentral
GUAGUCCACGCUGUAAACGAUGAGAACUAGUCGUCGGGAGGGUCUGCCAUCCGGUGACGUAGCUAACGCGUUAAGUUCUCCGCCUGGGGAGUACGGCCGCAAGGUUGAAACUCAAAGUAAUUGACGGGGGCCCGCACAAGCGGUGGAGCAUGUGGUUUAAUUCGAUGCAACGCGAAGAACCUUACCUGGCCUUGACAUCCUGCGAACUUUCUAGAGAUAGAUUGGUGCCUUCGGGAGCGCAGAGACAGGUGCUGCAUGGCUGUCGUCAGCUCGUGUCGUGAGAUGUUGGGUUAAGUCCCGCAACGAGCGCAACCCUUGCCCUUAGUUGCCAGCACGUAAUGGUGGGAACUCUAAGGGGACUGCCGGUGACAAACCGGA